CACAAUACAUUGAGAGAAAAUAAGAAGUUGAAUUACAAGAGAGAAUAGUUAAAAAUCACUUUUUAAUAACCUUAUGUGUUUAUUUACAAAAAUUUAUGAAAUUAUACCUGAGUAGAAUCUUUGAUCUUUGGAAAGACCUGCAUCAGGAAAAUAAUCAUUUUAGUUUUAUGUUUGACAAUGGAGAAUGUCACAGCAAUUCAAUCCAAUAGAAGAAUCAAUCUUUC
RNAcentral lists this long non-coding RNA (224 nucleotides) under Ricinus communis (castor bean). RNAcentral's name for it is "long non-coding RNA (RCOM_LNC003306)". Lineage: Eukaryota; Viridiplantae; Streptophyta; Magnoliopsida; Malpighiales; Euphorbiaceae. The record is from RNAcentral.